Non-coding RNA from Paramuricea clavata, 587 nucleotides. Lineage: Eukaryota; Metazoa; Cnidaria; Anthozoa; Malacalcyonacea; Plexauridae. The record is from the annotation of a GenBank genome assembly.
GGGGCAACCUCGUUCCCAGGGUCUCUCCGUCUGUCAUCUGGGAGAGACCCUGGCUGCGGCUGGUCACGUGCCUCCCAGAUUCUGGGAGGUAAAUUUAAUUGUAACUGUGAGAGGGGUGGGAAAGGAGCGUGUUUGUAGCGUUUUAAAAUUGCAACUGUGGGUGAUGAAAUGUACUGUAAAUUUGCAACAAGAAAUCGUAAAGAGAACUCUUAAAUUAAUAUUUAUAUCGUGACGUUCUACUCUAUAAUCUGGUGUCGAGUUACAAUUCAAGCAAGUUGGAUCAGAUUUCAUUUAAUAUAGACUUGCCAAAGAAAUCACGCUUGCGGCGGCUUGCCGCUUGUGCAGCGUGGCAAUAUUAAACCUACAGGAAAAUAUAUAUCUCCAGACCGAACAGUGUGGUUGUUAUUUAUUUAGUAUUAAAGUCUAUCCUGAUACUCGGACCAAAAGAAUUUAUUUAUUGAUGAGAUGUGGAAUUGCAACGAAAUAGCGAGAUGUUUUGAUUUCCGAAAUAUCAAAUAUCGCCAACUGUAUCCAGAUUGUUGAUCUAUAUAAAGACCUUAUCAAAAAAAACUUAAAGCCCUUUGCAU